This 169-nucleotide ribosomal RNA is filed under the name Gymnothorax breedeni (blackcheek moray). RNAcentral's name for it is "partial 12S rRNA". Lineage: Eukaryota; Metazoa; Chordata; Actinopteri; Anguilliformes; Muraenidae. The record is from RNAcentral.
CACCGCGGUUAUACGAGGGGCCCAAAUUGAUAUACCACGGCGUAAAGUGUGAUUAGAGAUAACUUUAAACUAAAGUCAAACACCCCUUAUGCUGUCAUACGCCAUGGGGGACACGAAGCUCAACAACGAAAGUGACUUUAAAAAACUUGAACUCACGACAGCUAGGACA